Molecule: ribosomal RNA, 449 nt
Filed under: uncultured bacterium
Lineage: Bacteria
Description: bacterial SSU rRNA
Rfam family: Bacterial small subunit ribosomal RNA
Source: RNAcentral
AGCGAACGCUGGCGGCAGGCUUAACACAUGCAAGUCGAGCGGGCGUAGCAAUACGUCAGCGGCAGACGGGUGAGUAACGCGUGGGAACGUACCUUUUGGUUCGGAACAACACAGGGAAACUUGUGCUAAUACCGGAUAAGCCCUUACGGGGAAAGACUUAUCGCCGAAAGAUCGGCCCGCGUCUGAUUAGCUAGUUGGUGAGGUAACGGCUCACCAAGGCGACGAUCAGUAGCUGGUCUGAGAGGAUGAUCAGCCACAUUGGGACUGAGACACGGCCCAAACUCCUACGGAGGCAGCAGUGGGAAUAUUGGACAAUGGGCGCAAGCCUGAUCCAGCCAUGCCGCGUGAGUGAUGAAGGCCCUAGGGUUGUAAAGCUCUUUGUGCGGGAAGAUAAUGACGGUACCGCAAGAAUAAGCCCCGGCUAACUUCGUGCCAGCCGCCGCAGUAAU